This 372-nucleotide ribosomal RNA is filed under the name uncultured bacterium. RNAcentral describes it as "bacterial SSU rRNA". It matches the Rfam family "Bacterial small subunit ribosomal RNA", at positions 523 to 897 of the family's 1533-position model. The record is from RNAcentral.
AUACGGAGGAUGCGAGCGUUAUCCGGAAUUAUUGGGCUUAAAGGGCGCGUAGGCGGCCGUUUAAGUCAGAUGUGAAAGCUUACGGCUCAACCUUGGAAUUGCGGUUGAAACUGGGAGGCUUGAGUGCUUGAGAUGGGGGCGGAAUUCGGGGUGUAGCGGUGAAAUGCUUAGAUAUCCGGAAGAACACCGAUGGCGAAGGCGGCCACCUGGACUGUAACUGACGCUGAUGCGCGAAAGCGUGGGUAUCAAACAGGAUUAGAUACCCUGGUAGUCCACGCAGUAAACGAUGGAUGCUCGCUGUCGGGGAGAGACAUUAAGCGGCCAAGCGAAAGCGUUAAGUAUUCCGCCUGGGGAGUACGCCGGCAACGGUGA